Vigna angularis (adzuki bean) is the source of this 1815-nucleotide long non-coding RNA. RefSeq lists it as uncharacterized. The record is from RefSeq and is a predicted model, not a curated record. The transcript has 4 exons. Lineage: Eukaryota; Viridiplantae; Streptophyta; Magnoliopsida; Fabales; Fabaceae.
UUACAUACAGAUCAUAAAAAAUAAGUUACAUACGGAUUUUAUAUACGGAUUUUAUCUACUGAUAUUUCCGUAUGUAAAAUUCGUAUAUAAUGUUGGCGCGUGUAGGCGAGAACUUUAUCUAAGGAUAUUAUCCGUAUAUAACCAUUUAAAAUCCAUAUGUAAUUCGGAAAUACAUUAUAUACCGAUAUUAUAUACGGAAUGUUAAAAUAAAUUAUUAAAAAUUAAUAAAAAGGAAAACUUAAAAUGUAGGUUUUGGUUGUUUUGUGCUUGGACAUUUUCAUUUGCCUCCGUGGUUAAAAAGCCCUGGGGUUUUAGGAAGGAGAGCGAGGAGUGUGACGACGACACCAUCUACCUCUACGACCUCUCCGCUGCCUCUUUCCUCGGUUCCCUCAACCAACACUCUGACUCUAUCACCGCCCUCUCCUUUUAUGCCCUUCUCAAUCUCCCUUUUCCCUGCAACCUCAUCUUCGCCGAUCUUACCACGCUCUUCGUCCACCGGAACGCCGCUAUGAACGACCUCGCUCUGCACCCGUCCGGUGAGUGCGCCCUCACCGUUGCUCGUGACAACUGCCUCACCAUCUUUAACCUCAUUCGCGGCAGUCGCAACUACUGCUUGUGCCUCGACAAGGAAUUGUGCUUCUUCAAAUUCUUCAAAUUGGAAUGCUCCAAGCCCGUUUUCUACGCUGCUCCUGUUAGGAUAUGUGCUUCUUCAAAUUCUUUCUCUGUUUUCUCGAAUUAUCAUCGAAUAUCAAGUUGGUUAUUUUUAUUUUCUCUGUUUCUUUUGGUUUUGCUGAUUUGUCUUGUAUGUUUAAAAACUCUAGGGUUUAGGUAGCAUUUGAUUUGAUGAAGAAAGUUUGGUAUAUUGUCACUUGUUAAGUUUUUCAGGCGCUUAAUACUUGUUAAGUUUUAUGGGAUUCUUGUGGUGCAUUUUUAGGAGAUCUCCAUUGUGCUACCGAUGUUGCGUUUAGGGAAGAUUCAGAGGGCUUUUAAGUGGAAGCAGAUACAUCACUCAAGAUGAGCUUCAAAAAGCCUAUGAAGAAUUUAUUAUUGAGAAUGUAUGCUUUGAGGAAAUCAUCCAAGAAGUUGAUCAAAAUAAUAAAUUGAAGAUGGUCCCAUAUAUGCUCAACUUUUUGUGCCCGUAAAUGCCAAUCUGCUCCCAAAUAGUGAGGCAUGUCAACCAGCAAAUGGUGACAAAGUGGUCUUCUGCAAGCUAAUAUGGGUCCAAGCCGCAACAUACCAAGGUAAGUUGAACUAUAAAGGCAAUGAUUUUAGUUUAUAAUCAUUAUUUGUCAAUGGAAUUUGAGAUCACGUCUAUAAUCAUUAUUCAUAAAUGAUAUUGGAUUGGUUUUAGGCUUGUUAGUUAUCUUGUAAGUUCAUAAUGAAUUGUCAUCAUUAUAUUAUGAUGGAUGCAAAUCCUUACCUUAAAUAUUUUUGUGAUGAAAACAUGUUGGUUGGUGUGAGACACUAUGAUAAGAGUUGGAGAAUGAGCAACAUACAACCAGCUUAGCAGAAUGAAGAACAAUGCCUUUUCUGAAGAAUACCAAGGUUCUUUCCUUCAUGACAAGCAAACAAAUCUAGAAGAUGAGCAUGACAAGAUAUUCAUAGUACAUGGAGUCUCUAGAAGCAAAAGAGAAGCAAGUGAUACUUUUGUAGUCUUAGCUGAUCUAAUAAAUCUACUAGUGUUUAGUAUGGUAUUUAUCAUUGUAAAUGGUUUGACAUAGUACCAACUUAGAUUGAUAAGUUUGUUUAUUAUGAGUAUAUAUUAAAAUUGUGGUUGUUGAAUAGUAACACAUUAUAAUAGAUUCAUUAAUGUAA